Molecule: long non-coding RNA, 307 nt
Organism: Suricata suricatta (meerkat)
Lineage: Eukaryota; Metazoa; Chordata; Mammalia; Carnivora; Herpestidae
Exons: 3
Source: RefSeq, a predicted model, not a curated record
ACUUAUCACCAUCUUACCCAAAGGAAGCAAGAGAAUCUAUUAGCAUCUCACAGAGCCAGUUUAGCCGAAUUGAUUCCCUAUUGACUCUCAUCUGGACAAUCAAGUCACCAAAGUCUUACUGAGCAUCUCUUCUGGCUAGUUGCUAAGCAGUGCCAAGCAUUUGGGUGAAGGCAUGGAGAAGAUGAGCAAUUGAUUUCACAUGAUGUUAGAGGUUCUUAGGAAGAUACAACAGAGCAAGUGUGCAACAGAGUUGUGGAUGUUGGCAAAAGAAGACUUGGAAAAACGGUACUAUUAAAGAGAAAAAUUG